This 253-nucleotide ribosomal RNA is filed under the name uncultured bacterium. Its description in RNAcentral is "partial 16S ribosomal RNA". It matches the Rfam family "Bacterial small subunit ribosomal RNA", at positions 524 to 776 of the family's 1533-position model. The record is from RNAcentral.
UACGGAGGGAGCUAGCGUUGUUCGGAAUUACUGGGCGUAAAGCGCACGUAGGCGGAUAUUUAAGUCAGGGGUGAAAUCCCGGGGCUCAACCCCGGAACUGCCUUUGAUACUGGGUAUCUGGAGGUCGAGAGAGGCGAGUGGAAUUCCGAGUGUAGAGGUGAAAUUCGUAGAUAUUCGGAGGAACACCAGUGGCGAAGGCGGCUCGCUGGCUCGAUACUGACGCUGGGGUGCGAAAGCGUGGGGAGCAAACAGG